GCGCAGUUCGCGGUGGAAUGUGUAUGGUCGUGUACAUGUGCGCAUGCACGCACAUACACAAAUGAAGCAUGUAAUUCGCUUGUUUCUGAGGUCAUCCGAGCAUCCAGCGACAGGUCACGAAGGUCAGCCGGAAGCGCCACAGAAGACCUCGCGCCGCACAAACCGAGAGAAAUUUGAAACUGCGUCAAAAUGGUCUCACGUCGAAGAACAACACCAAUGAGAAAGUGGAAAUUCUUGUCGGAAAUCAAGCAAGAGGGAAGUUGGUGUUAUGGCUUUGAAUCAGCGAUUACUUGAAGGAUAUGAAGUUUGUACAUGUAAAGACUGGAGAUGAAAAUCAUUAUCGAUAAUUUCUAUAAGGAAAGGUGUAGUAAUUUGGCUCUUCAUCUGCUUUGCUGAUUUUUGCUACGUUUGAAUGGCUGACUUGAGGCGACAGAGAAACUGACAGCGUAUGCUAUCACCCUCGCGCUCUUAACGCGGAGGACCUCCUUGUGUUCGUGCGCUCUCGAGUCCUUUGCCGAGGGUGAUGCAAGAGUUCCUUCACCGGCGACUCACGUAAGACGGGGUUUAGGUCAGAGUUCACAGGCGCUGCCGACCCGGGAAGCACAUUGUCUGCCUCGGCCUUUCUGGCCAGGUGCGCUCAGGGCAUCACACUCGCUAUGGGGCGCAGGCAGGACAACAGCAGGAACAAUGUCCAUAAUGGAAACAACGAUAACAGGACACGACCCACAAAACUCGACUGCAUUUGGGAAAGGAAACCACGAAAUCAAAAUAAAAACGAAACAUCUCCAAUAGCUAGAAAGGAAUCGAAACCCUUAACCAGCACCAUAUUUGUCCCCAAGCCCCUUAUGGAUUGCUUCAUCAGGAAAAGAUGAAUCCUGACGCGUAAGGAUCAUUGCAAGCAGCUGGAGGAGCGCGGGGAAGAGUCCUCGAGGCUGGCUAGCUCCCUCGCGACAGAUGAAGAGCGGUCGCCGUCAUCAACCCGCCGCUCAUUGUCCUCUGUGUACAUAUAUAUCUCCCUUUCUUGGAAUUUCUCUUGUGCUCUCUUUGGCCGUCGCCGGGCGGGAGCUGUCGCUGCCCGGACGCGCGGCGUGGAGACAGAUCCUUUUCAAAGUCAUGCCACGCGCGGGGAUCUGGAGGUGGCACGUAAUGGCACUGGAGGUGAAAAGGAUACACAUCAC
Penaeus vannamei (Pacific white shrimp) is the source of this 1178-nucleotide non-coding RNA. The record is from RefSeq and is a predicted model, not a curated record. NCBI's taxonomy places the organism in Eukaryota, Metazoa, Arthropoda, Malacostraca, Decapoda, Penaeidae.